Molecule: ribosomal RNA, 253 nt
Filed under: uncultured bacterium
Lineage: Bacteria
Description: partial 16S ribosomal RNA
Rfam family: Bacterial small subunit ribosomal RNA
Source: RNAcentral
UACGAAGGGUGCAAGCGUUAUUCGGAUUUAUUGGGUGUAAAGGGUGCGUAGACGGCAUGUUAAGUCCGCUGUUAAAUUUCCCAGCUUAACUGGGAGCCAGCGGUGGAUACUGAUGUGCUAGAGGGUGGAAGAGAGAAGUGAAAUUCCCGGAGUAGCGGUAAAAUGCGUAGAUCUCGGGAGGAACACCAAUGGCGAAGGCAGCUUCUUGGUCCAUUUCUGACGUUGAGGCACGAAAGCGUGGGGAGCAAACAGG